Molecule: ribosomal RNA, 494 nt
Filed under: uncultured cyanobacterium
Lineage: Bacteria; Bacillati; Cyanobacteriota
Description: bacterial SSU rRNA
Rfam family: Bacterial small subunit ribosomal RNA
Source: RNAcentral
GCUGGCGGUAUGCCUAACACAUGCAAGUCGUACGAGAGUUUUUAACUCAAGUGGCGGACGGGUGAGUAACACGUGAGAAUCUACCUUUAGGAGGGGGAUAACAACUGGAAACGGUUGCUAAUACCCCAUAUGCUUUCGAGUGAAAUGGAUUUAUCCGCCUAGAGAGGAGCUCGCGGCUGAUUAGCUUGUUGGUAGGGUAAUGGCCUACCAAGGCGACGAUCAGUAUCUGGUUUGAGAGGACGAUCAGACACACUGGAACUGAGACACGGUCCAGACUCCUACGGGAGGCAGCAGUGGGGAAUUUUCCGCAAUGGGCGAAAGCCUGACAGAGCAAUACCGCGUGAGGGAAGACGGCCUAUGGGUUGUAAACCUCUUUUCUCAGGGAGGAACUCAAUGACGUGUACCUGAGGAAUAAGCAUCGGCUAACUCCGUGCCAGCAGCCGCGGUAAGACGGAGGAUGCAAGUGUUAUCCGGAAUCACUGGGCGUAAAGCGU